UCAGCUCACUGCAGCUCCUCAGAUCUGAGAAUCACCAGAACAUGAAGAUUUUAACGGUCUUCUUCCUUUGCUGUUGUUUUUCAUCUACAGUGGAACACUCCCUGGAAUUUUGCGUCACCUCAUCUCAUGGAUUUCCACACUUUCCGGAGUUUGUGGUUGUAGUGGUGGUUGAUGGAGUUGAGUCUGGGUCCUAUGACAGCAACACCAGAAUGCUAAAACUUCAUGACUGGACAACAGAAUUCAUAAGAGAUAACCCAGACUACCUGCAGUUAUUUUCACAGGAGUGUUAUGGGACUGAAAUCUCCUUCAGGCGUUACACUGUGGACAUCAUGCAUAACUUAAACCAAAAUGAAGGUGUGCACGUUCUACAGCUGAGGAGUGGCUGUGAGUGGGAUGAAGAGACCGGAGAGACUGCUGGUUUUCUGAAGCUUGGUUAUGAUGGAGAGGACUUCAUGGCUCUGGACCUGCAGACAUCAACAUGGACUGCUCUAAAACCUGAGGCCAACAUUACUAAACUCAGAUGGGAUGCUGACAAAGUUGGAUUACAUGACUAUACUAGCUUCUACAAGUAUCAGUGUUCCAUUUGGCUGAAGGAGUUUUUGCCCUACGGGAGAAAGUAUUUACAGAGGACAGUGCUUCCCUCAGUGUCUCUCCUCCAGAAGUCUCCCUCCUCUCCAGUCAGCUGCUUCGCCACAGGUUUCUACCCUGACAGAGCUGCGAUGUUCUGGAGGAAAGAUGGAGAGGAGCUUUAUGAGGGCGUGGACCAUGGAGAGAUCCUCCCAAACAAUGAUGACACCUUCCAGAUGAGUGCUGACCUGAACAUUUCAUCAGUGAAACUUGAAGACUGGGAGAAGUACGAGUGUGUGUUUCAGCUCUCUGGAGUGAAGGAGGACAUCGUCACCAGACUGGACAAAUCAAUGAUCCCUUAUGGUUCUCCUCCUCGGGUUCCUGUUGUUAUUGGAGUUGUUGCAGGACUGCUGCUCCUGUCAGUCUGCAUCACUGGAUUCAUCAUGUGGAGAAAAAAGAAAAAUGGUCUCCAGGCUGUUCAAUAUCUAACCAAUGCUGCAGCCACAGUCUACACAUCCAUCAACAACAAAACCAGGCAUGCUGCAUCAGGAUUCAAAUCCAGUUAAAGAUGACUCAUCCAUUCAAACAUAUAAGAAGCAGGCUGAGAUAAAAGCAUUUUGACUGAUCAUUCAAUUAGCUCUCUAAGGGGAACAGGGGAAUGCAGAGAUGGCGCUGGACUCCAGCAUGUGAGGAGUCAACACUAUAAUUUCCAGAUGUAUGGGACAGUCGUUUUGUAAAUGUAAUCCAAGCACAACCACCACACGUCACCAAAAACACAGCUAAAGACUUCUCCAGAUUCUCUGAAUCUGAUGACGAUAUUUUAAAAUGUAGAUGGUGUUGUUAACUCACCCAUGCUGUCAAAAUGGCGUCAUCUGGUGGUCAACAAUGGAACAUCUACAGAAGGAGUAAUAAUUGCUGCAGGUGUGCCUGCAGCCAGCAUUAAAGGCCCAAAUCAGUCAUACAGAGGUCUCUCUGAACUCUGUCCACUCCCAGGCCAUGCAUCCUUGAGCAUUUAAGACUGUUUAUCUUUGUUUGACCCCAUUUUCUUUAAUAUGUUUAUGUUAAUGAUACAAAUAGGAAAUUGAUUGUUUGUAGCUUACAUUGACCUGUUACUUUAAUUUUUUUGUUGACACAGAAACCAUCGCUUUGGAUGGAAA
Molecule: RNA transcript, 1724 nt
Organism: Cheilinus undulatus (humphead wrasse)
Lineage: Eukaryota; Metazoa; Chordata; Actinopteri; Labriformes; Labridae
Gene name: major histocompatibility complex class I-related gene protein-like
Exons: 8
Source: RefSeq, a predicted model, not a curated record